UUUUCGGCUCAUUAACGUACAAAAUUUGCACCUUUAAAAUGAUACGUCUUUCAUUAACUUACAAUUUUUUCUUCACGUACUUAUUCAACGUCAAAGCCAGAGGACUCGAAUUUUCUCGCGGAUAGUAGUCAGUUUCAAUCCAACAAAAGCCAUCGAGUGAAUCCAAAAACAGGACAACGCAAAAGCUUCCACACGCAAGCUACAACUCAACAAAGAAAGACUUAAUUAUUACGAAUAAUUUUCAGUGAAAAUUCCAGACAACCGUAUUGGUCUUUCAAGGAGAAAUGCUACAUUUCAGAUCAAAUUCAAAAUUCAAUACUAAAAGAAGCCGUCAGUAUAUGUUUCCUAAAAGCAGACCAGUUUUUGAUGGGCAUCGUCUUAUAAUUCCUAAGCCGGAUGGGACAAAUCGAUUAAUUCUCAAUCUUAAACAAUUUACCACUUCAUCAAUACUGACAAUUUUAAGCUCUAAGAUUAUAGAGUAGCCUAUUAGUUAGUAAAUCUAAAUUGUUUUAUGGGUAAAUUAGAUCUAAAGACGCUUAUUAUAUUGUUCACAUUAAGAAAAAUUAUCAGAAAUAUCUGAGGUUUUCUAUUGAUGGAAUUCUCUUUGAACUGGACUGCCAGCUAUUUGGCCUCAACACCGCUCCCUAUGUCUUUACAAAAAAAUAUGAAGCCAGUUGUGUAGGCCAGGGGCUAGAGCAAAAAAGUGUAAUUUUUGACAUUAAUUCCGACUAAAUUAAUUAUGGUUUUAAACUGUUCUUUGGGUCAAUAUAAGGAACCAUUUUCGUUACCCCUCCCCCCACCUCUGCGUAUUUUUUUGCAGUGGCGUAAACUUUCAAAAAACGUUUUUUAUUUAUAAUUCGUUUUUGUACACAUUAACAACUUAUUCUCUUUUUUUAAAUAAAUAAUUUUAUUAUUGGCAUAAAUGUUUUCAUUGUAUACGGUUUUCACAAUGGCGAGCUUAUAUAUGUAAAUAUAUGAGACUACUUACUCGACAAAUUUCAGGAAUAGCUUAGUCCCUUAAUCGUUGAAAUGUUGAGAAGCAUCUGUUCUAUUGGGUGAAAGUGUAUGUUAGUGCGUAAAUAAUUAAACCGCCCGGGGCAUGUACGAGGAAGAGGAGGGCGUCUUCACCAGUCUUCUCGUCCAUGUGAUUCUACAGACAAGGCAAGGUAAUAUUAGUUAAACUCUUGCAAAAAAAGAGACGCUACAAAGAGCAAUGCAAGUACCUCAUUAAAUCUGUACCGAAGACUGCUUGCCAUCUGGCAUCUAUUCCACCAACUGAAGCAGCAGCGAGACAACAUUCGCUUCAAACCUACCAUCAGGAGAGAGAGGGAGAUAGAGAGGGGGGGGGGUCAAGCGAUGAUGAUGAUGAUGGUGACAGUGAGCAGGAGAGUUGAGGUGACCUGAUAUAGGCCGAACUUCUGCCAUCAAGCUCAGGUGUGAGCGCAUUUGAGCGCAGACAAAUGCAGGAUGAGCCUUCCUCCGAUGAUGAUAACAAAAAGGAGAGCAGAUGUAACCCACUGGAGGUCAAACCUCAGCAAUCAACCUCAGGUGUGAGAAAAUAUAAGCAUGGCGAAAUGCAGGAUGAGCCACUUAUAAAUUAAUCAGUCGGCUUAAAAUUUUGUUUGCCACGCACUUGUCCUUGCAGUCAACACCUGCUAAAAAUGGUGAGCCCUGUUCUAUGCCAAUGUUAUUUAUCGUUUCGGAUUACAAUGAUCCUAAUUCAAUUUUUCAACAGGCUUGUGGCAUUCUUGAUUUUUUACAUUCCAACGACCAAGCUAUUCCUAGAAAUUUUCGAGUAAGCUUUCUUGAAUACUUACACACAUAGGGUCGCAAUUGUGAAAAUAUAAUGAAAAGAUUUAUACCAAUAAUAAAAUUAUUUAUAAAAAAUAAAAAAUGCACUGAAAGUAAUAGUUUGAGGCUAAUGGCAAGCCGAGCUCGCUUGAGAAUUUUUAACUGAAUUACAAGCAAAAUUGUGUUGUCUCAGCCAUACGAAUUUGAGACUUAAACUAUCAACUAUCAACUAUCUAUUCCUGUGUAGGAAUCCAAUCAGGGAUCCGGCCUGGUCCCAGCCGUAUAGCCCCGCUUUAAGCCGGGCGCUGGUCAGGGAAUCCGGCCGGGAUCCGGCUAAAAACGUCACGCUAAACU
Long non-coding RNA from Belonocnema kinseyi, 2145 nucleotides. RefSeq lists it as uncharacterized. Lineage: Eukaryota; Metazoa; Arthropoda; Insecta; Hymenoptera; Cynipidae. The record is from RefSeq and is a predicted model, not a curated record. The transcript is spliced from 3 exons.